Molecule: long non-coding RNA, 243 nt
Filed under: Musa acuminata (dwarf banana)
Lineage: Eukaryota; Viridiplantae; Streptophyta; Magnoliopsida; Zingiberales; Musaceae
Description: long non-coding RNA (MACU_LNC010001)
Source: RNAcentral
CCUAAUAAUCAUAUCCUAAUAAUCAUAUCUCUUAUAGUAUAGGCGCAAGAGAAGAUAUAGAUGAAAUUCAUUGUUGCCCUACAGCGCGGGUAAUACGAGAUAGCUGAGUUUAGAAUAUAAGCAAAAGGGUAAUCCAAGCAUUCAAGUUCAGGCAGUAAGGUCAGAUUCAUAAGAAAGGGAAGCAGUGCGAGAGGAAGCUCCAGAAUAGACUGUUCGACACUUUCCAUAAGGCCAUAAUCUAAG